AUACGUAGGGUGCGAGCGUUAAUCGGAAUUACUGGGCGUAAAGCGUGCGCAGGCGGCUUUGCAAGACAGAGGUGAAAUCCCCGGGCUCAACCUGGGAACUGCCUUUGUGACUGCAAGGCUAGAGUACGGCAGAGGGGGAUGGAAUUCCGCGUGUAGCAGUGAAAUGCGUAGAUAUGCGGAGGAACACCAAUGGCGAAGGCAAUCCCCUGGGCCUGUACUGACGCUCAUGCACGAAAGCGUGGGGAGCAAACAGGAUUAGAUACCCUAGUAGUCC
This 274-nucleotide ribosomal RNA is filed under the name uncultured bacterium. Its description in RNAcentral is "partial 16S ribosomal RNA". It matches the Rfam family "Bacterial small subunit ribosomal RNA", at positions 523 to 796 of the family's 1533-position model. The record is from RNAcentral.